Molecule: long non-coding RNA, 582 nt
Organism: Asparagus officinalis (garden asparagus)
Lineage: Eukaryota; Viridiplantae; Streptophyta; Magnoliopsida; Asparagales; Asparagaceae
Exons: 2
Source: RefSeq, a predicted model, not a curated record
AAUUUGACCCUCUAAUUGGAUGAGGAUACUUUGCAUGAUCAGGAUGCACAAUGGUCGACGUCUUUACUAUGGAGAGAUGGAUAAGAGACCGCCCCUACAAAAACAUUUUUUUUAACUUUGUUCUUUGAUUUUUUUUUAAUGCGUCGAUCUUCAGUUAAAUGAAAGACACUGCUGACUUAAGCAGUAAGGGAUGGCGUUAAGAAAUAAUCCACAAGCUCAUCUUCUAUUGUUUGUGAUGUACAAAUGUAUGUGACCGCUGCUAGCUCUCCGGAUUUCUAACGACACGUUAUAUAUGUGCACCCAAUUGGUCAGUGCGGCGUCACGAUACAUACAUCACAAUAUAUAUAAGGGGAAAAGUUGAUCCACAGCUGAACAGGGUAGAUCUCAAGUUUAGCAUAUUUCUAGUGAGGAGUUGCCAACCAAAGCCGUAGGUGAGUUUUCAUGACAUGCAGUCCAAUUAGGAAUUGACAAGAACCAACGUUUCCCACUAACUACCGUCAUGUGAUGAAUUAAUUGAGAUUUUAUAACUACUCUUUCCAUUGAUUUUUUCUAUUAAUUAACUUGGUGAUUGGUUCUAGUUUA